This 463-nucleotide ribosomal RNA is filed under the name uncultured bacterium. RNAcentral describes it as "partial 16S ribosomal RNA". It matches the Rfam family "Bacterial small subunit ribosomal RNA", at positions 28 to 505 of the family's 1533-position model. The record is from RNAcentral.
GACGAACGCUGGCGGCGUGCUUAACACAUGCCAGUCGAACGGAAAGGCCCCUUUGGGGGUACUCGAGUGGCGAACGGGUGAGUAACACGUGAGUAACCUGCCCUUGACUUCGGGAUAACUUCAGGAAACUGGGGCUAAUACCGGAUAGGAAUCCUUGCUGCAUGGUGGGGGUUGGAAAGCUUCGGCGGUUUUGGAUGGACUCGCGGCUUAUCAGCUUGUUGGUGGGGUAGUGGCUUACCAAGGCUUUGACGGGUAGCCGGCCUGAGAGGGCGACCGGCCACAUUGGGACUGAGAUACGGCCCAGACUCCUACGGGAGGCAGCAGUGGGGAAUAUUGCACAAUGGGCGGAAGCCUGAUGCAGCAACGCCGCGUGCGGGAUGACGGCCUUCGGGUUGUAAACCGCUUUCAGCAGGGGCGAAGCUUGUGGUGACGGUACCUGCAGAAGAAGCACCGGCUAACUACG